CACCUCUCAGGGUCACACCUGGAGAGUUUCCAAUACUCUACCAGUCUCGACCAUGGGAGGAAGAGUCAAGCAGAGGCAUAUCCAUUCAUUUCGAGCUUGGGCAGUGGCUAGCGAGUGAAAGGCAAUCUGCUACAAGC
Tachyglossus aculeatus (Australian echidna) is the source of this 137-nucleotide small nucleolar RNA. Lineage: Eukaryota; Metazoa; Chordata; Mammalia; Monotremata; Tachyglossidae. The record is from RefSeq and is a predicted model, not a curated record.